UGGGGAAUUUUGCGCAAUGGGGGAAACCCUGACGCAGCAACGCCGCGUGGAGGAUGAAAUCCCUUGGGAUGUAAACUCCUUUCGAUAGGGAAGAUAAUGACGGUACCUGUAGAAGAAGCCCCGGCUAACUUCGUGCCAG
This 139-nucleotide ribosomal RNA is filed under the name uncultured bacterium. Its description in RNAcentral is "partial 16S ribosomal RNA". It matches the Rfam family "Bacterial small subunit ribosomal RNA", at positions 355 to 511 of the family's 1533-position model. The record is from RNAcentral.